CAACAAAAAUUAUUACUUUUGCGUCAAAGUAACGCAUCCAUGGUGAAAAUUUUUAACAAACAAAAAAAGGCGUGAUUAUUGCAUAAAUUUUGUGCUAAGUUUGGUGUGCACCGUGAGACACGCUAAAUUUGCAUUAAAAAACUGUAACCUAUGGUUGAAAAAUUAUUGCACCCAAACGUGCUGAGAUAUUGCGUAAAAAUACCGCACCAAUAUCUCGUCAAUACCCACAUUACAUGAGGCGUUAAAAUCAUGCAAUUUAUACGCAAUGAAUGGUGGGUGCGAAGAGACAGGCAACGCGCGAGAGUUUGAAUCUAAGAGAAGCGUGGUAUUUCCUUUUCUCUCCCACCCUCGCAGUCUCGUAAAUUCCCUGUUAAUUUAAUUCCCUGUUAAUUUAUCUGUUGUCUCAAUGUCGCCAAAAAAAUAUUACAUAAUUGAAUUCCCCCCUGAUAAAUACAAUUCAGUGCCUGUGGAGCUUGUUCCAAGUCACUGGGUUAUCCCCGCAGAGAAAGUUUGUCUCUGGCCACCAAACUCUGGGCCAAGUAUUAGAAAUUUGAUAAAAAAAGGGCACUGCUAUUCCUGAUGUCAAGUGGGGAAGAGUUAGCUACGCCAGGAUUAUUGGGAAUUACGAUGAUUAUGAAGUUGCGACAAAAAAACUUCAAGUAGCCGAGGACACUUCCAACUUGGAAAGUGAAACAGAACCAGAAAGCAGAUUAAGGAGCAAGAAGAUAAUUCCCGAUAUUCAGCCCAGCAGCACACGAGGGGAUGUAACGUCUUCAUCCGAUGAGGAGGAUAGCGACGCGAACAUAAACAGUCCUCCGUCUGGCUCACUUCUGGAUAAUUUGGAGCUGGACCAACCAUUGAGCAUUCCUGAAAUAAUUCCCGAAACUGAAGAGCAAAGCAAUCUACAAGUAGGAAAUCAAGUUGAAACUGGAGACACUUCUUUUGUUGUUGUAAAUUCGCAGGAGUUAAAUGAUUUACGGCUGUUGAUUUCAAGUUAGUACAAGCAAAAUAAUUUUAUUAAAAUUGAUGUAUUAUGUUAACGCUUUGUAAUCACGUUGCAGGGACAACGCAA
Molecule: long non-coding RNA, 1072 nt
Organism: Folsomia candida
Lineage: Eukaryota; Metazoa; Arthropoda; Collembola; Entomobryomorpha; Isotomidae
Exons: 3
Source: RefSeq, a predicted model, not a curated record